This 300-nucleotide ribosomal RNA is filed under the name uncultured Bacillus sp. RNAcentral describes it as "bacterial SSU rRNA". It matches the Rfam family "Bacterial small subunit ribosomal RNA", at positions 497 to 795 of the family's 1533-position model. The record is from RNAcentral. Lineage: Bacteria; Bacillati; Bacillota; Bacilli; Caryophanales; Bacillaceae.
GUGACAUCGUGGCCCGGAGGCGCGUGAAUACGGGGGGGGCAAGCGUUAAUCGGAAGUACAGGGCGUAAAGCGCACGUAGGCGGUUUUCUAAGUCAGAUGUGAAAUCCCCGGGCUUAACCUGGGAACUGCACCUGAUACUGGAAGACUAGAAGGUGGGAGAGGAGAGUGGAAUUUCCGGUGUAGCGGUGAAAUGCAUAGAGAUCGGAAGGAACACCAGUGGCGAAGGCGGCUCUCUGGACCAACAUUGACGCUGAGGUGCGAAAGCGUGGGUAGCAAACAGGAUUAGAUACCCUAGUAGUC